GAACUUUUCCCAACAAACACAAAUAGGGUUCCUUAGUUCUGGUCCCCACGUGACAUGGUAUACUGUUCUCUUGUUCUCCUUGGGGACAUAGAGGCAGACACAGAUGUAGACAAAUAGCAGGUGAGGAGGAAGAGCCACCAAGCAUGCUGCAGACUUACAAACAGCAGCUGCAGAGCUGUAAACAAUGGGGCUAUUAAUAGAUCAGGAACAGCCUGCAUUUGCCUGCACAUGCGCUUCAAUCCUGCCACCUACUGGUCGUUCUCCUGAACUGUCAGCCGGACAGCCAUAGACACAAAGUGACUGGGUGCCCACGAUGAGGGAGAAGGCUGCCCAGAAAAGGCUGCGUUUCCUUUACCAGGAGAGGCUUCUUCUCAUCUCAUGGAGCUUGAUGAUGGCUGGCGCACUGUGAACAUCUCUGACGCAUCCACCCAUUGAUGGUCCCCAGGAGUUCAUGGGAAGAGGAAUGUGAGGGCAGUUGGGAGUGUGGCCUCUGUGACAUUGAAAGAUGAGUCCGCCCUAGCUUUUCCAUCUUGUCUCCUACCCUUGGUGUGGCUCCUGCACUUCUGGAUCACAGCUCAGGGAUGGCAGAGAGGGGACUGGCGGCAGCAGCAGCAGCAUCAUCAUCA
Mus musculus (house mouse) is the source of this 626-nucleotide long non-coding RNA. RefSeq annotates it as predicted gene, 34041. The transcript has 4 exons. Lineage: Eukaryota; Metazoa; Chordata; Mammalia; Rodentia; Muridae. The record is from RefSeq and is a predicted model, not a curated record.